AAGAGUACGUAGGCGGUUCUUUAAGCGCAGGGUUAAGGCAAUGGCUCAACCAUUGUUCGCCCUGUGAACUGGGGGACUUGAGUAUCGGAGAGGAAGCGGAAUUCCUAGUGUAGCGGUGAAAUGCGUAGAUAUUAGGAGGAACACCAGUGGCGAGGCGGCUUUCUGGACGAAUACUGACGCUGAGGUACGAAAGCGUGGGGAGCAAACAGGAUUGAUACCCUGGUAGUCCACGCCGUAAACGAUGAGCACUAGGUGUCGGGGUCGCAAGACUUCGUGCCGCAGUUAACGCAUUAAGUGCUCCGCCUGGGGAGUACGCACGCAAGUGUGAAACUCAAGGAAUUGACGGGGACCCGCACAAGCAGCGGAGCAUGUGGUUUAAUUCGAAGCAACGCGAGAACCUUACCAGGGCUUGACAUCCUGCUGACAGGACCUUAACCGGUCCCUUCUUCGGACGCAGUGACAGGUGGUGCAUGGUUGUCGUCAGCUCGUGUCGUGAGAUGUUGGGUUAAGUCCGCAACGAGCGCAACCCUUGUCGUUAGUUACUAACAUUCAGUUGAGGACUCUAAUGAGACUCCGUGGAUAACACGGAGGAAGGUGGGGAUGACGUCAAAUCAUCAUGCCCCUUAUGUCCUGGCUACACACGUGCUACAAUGGUCGGUACAAAGAGACGCGAGACAGUGAUGUGGAGCAAAUUCAAAAGCCGAUCCCAGUUCGGAUUGCAGGCUGCAACUCGCCUGCAUGAAGUCGGAGUUGUAGUAAUCGUGGAUCAGAAUGCCACGGUGAAUGCGUUCCCGGGUCUUGUACACACCGCCCU
RNAcentral lists this ribosomal RNA (814 nucleotides) under uncultured Eubacterium sp. Its description in RNAcentral is "bacterial SSU rRNA". It matches the Rfam family "Bacterial small subunit ribosomal RNA", at positions 563 to 1396 of the family's 1533-position model. The record is from RNAcentral. Lineage: Bacteria; Bacillati; Bacillota; Clostridia; Eubacteriales; Eubacteriaceae.